RNAcentral lists this transfer RNA (87 nucleotides) under Bacteroidales bacterium. RNAcentral describes it as "tRNA-Ser". It matches the Rfam family "tRNA". From Rfam's summary of the family: Transfer RNA (tRNA) molecules are approximately 80 nucleotides in length. Their secondary structure includes four short double-helical elements and three loops (D, anti-codon, and T loops). Further hydrogen bonds mediate the characteristic L-shaped molecular structure. tRNAs have two regions of fundamental functional importance: the anti-codon, which is responsible for specific mRNA codon recognition, and the 3' end, to which the tRNAs corresponding amino acid is attached (by aminoacyl-tRNA synthetases). tRNAs cope with the degeneracy of the genetic code in two manners: having more than one tRNA (with a specific anti-codon) for a particular amino acid; and 'wobble' base-pairing, i.e. permitting non-standard base-pairing at the 3rd anti-codon position. RNAcentral also lists the same sequence under 1 other name. Lineage: Bacteria; Pseudomonadati; Bacteroidota; Bacteroidia; Bacteroidales. The record is from RNAcentral.
GGAGAGAUGCCAGAGUGGUCGAAUGGACCGCACUCGAAAUGCGGCAUACGGGUAACUGUAUCCAGGGUUCGAAUCCCUGUCUCUCCG